Molecule: long non-coding RNA, 527 nt
Filed under: Citrus x clementina
Lineage: Eukaryota; Viridiplantae; Streptophyta; Magnoliopsida; Sapindales; Rutaceae
Description: Citrus clementina (C. clementina) long non-coding RNA (CCLE_LNC004417)
Source: RNAcentral
UUCCCACUCCAAAAUUGAGUGGGACUCACGGAUUCUCACUCUCACUCCCCCCUUUUUUAAGGUAAGUAAACACUGGAGUGGGAGGAAUCUACACUCCACACUCUCACUCUAGAAAGUAAACACUACCCUAGUUGAUUUGACACCACAAAAGAGAAUUAGAUAGGGAAUUUUCCUAAGUUACAUUUGUUGUAACUUAUAAUUCAAUUAAAACAUGCAAAAAUAAGUAACGUGAGAGAUGGGGCUUGUAGACCAGUGUGUGGUCUUUACAUUUGUUUUAACUAGAAUGUAUGUUACAACAAAUGUAACGUAGUAGGACCCAUAGAUAGGACAUAUAGUUAGUCACACGUUAACACUGAAUCAUACGAUCAUAUCAUAUCACGCACAAGGACAAACUGCAGUUGAUCUACUUUACCAAAGAUAUUAUUGUAUUUGAGGAGAGCAUGUGAAUGUAAAUAUAGCUAUGUGAAUAUUGCAAGAAUUUCUUAAUAAAAAGACCUUGCACUUUUCAAAUUUGUGAAAAUAUCCCA